Canis lupus familiaris (dog) is the source of this 91-nucleotide non-coding RNA. NCBI's taxonomy places the organism in Eukaryota, Metazoa, Chordata, Mammalia, Carnivora, Canidae. The record is from Rfam.
CGGGGGAGGCCGGAUCCUGGGCUGUGUCCCGGCGCCCUGUGUCCCGGCGCCUGCGCUGGUGGAUUCGCGCUCCCGGGCCGCGCAACCCCCU